AGAGUUUGAUCCUGGCUCAGGAUGAACGCUAGCUACAGGCUUAACACAUGCAAGUCGAGGGGAAACGAUAGAGAAAGCUUGCUUUUUCUAGGCGUCGACCGGCGCACGGGUGAGUAACGCGUAUCCAACCUGCCCACCACUUGGGGAUAACCUUGCGAAAGUAAGACUAAUACCCAAUGAUAUCUCAAGAAGACAUCUGAAUGAGAUUAAAGAUUUAUCGGUGAUGGAUGGGGAUGCGUCUGAUUAGCUUGUUGGCGGGGUAACGGCCCACCAAGGCUACGAUCAGUAGGGGUUCUGAGAGGAAGGUCCCCCACAUUGGAACUGAGACACGGUCCAAACUCCUACGGGAGGCAGCAGUGAGGAAUAUUGGUCAAUGGGCGAGAGCCUGAACCAGCCAAGUAGCGUGCAGGAUGACGGCCCUAUGGGUUGUAAACUGCUUUUAUAAGGGAAUAAAGUGAGCCUCGUGAGGCUUUUUGCAUGUACCUUAUGAAUAAGGACCGGCUAAUUCCGUGCCAGCAGCCGCGGUAAUACGGAAGGUCCGGGCGUUAUCCGGAUUUAUUGGGUUUAAAGGGAGCGUAGGCCGGAGAUUAAGCGUGUUGUGAAAUGUAGACGCUCAACGUCUGCACUGCAGCGCGAACUGGUUUCCUUGAGUACGCACAAAGUGGGCGGAAUUCGUGGUGUAGCGGUGAAAUGCUUAGAUAUCACGAAGAACUCCGAUUGCGAAGGCAGCCUGCUGUAGCGCAACUGACGCUGAAGCUCGAAAGCGUGGGUAUCGAACAGGAUUAGAUACCCUGGUAGUCCACGCGGUAAACGAUGGAUGCUCGCUGUUUGCGUCUGACGUAAGCGGCCAAGCGAAAGCGUUAAGCAUCCCACCUGGGGAGUACGCCGGCAACGGUGAAA
RNAcentral lists this ribosomal RNA (900 nucleotides) under uncultured bacterium. Its description in RNAcentral is "bacterial SSU rRNA". It matches the Rfam family "Bacterial small subunit ribosomal RNA", at positions 8 to 899 of the family's 1533-position model. The record is from RNAcentral.